Molecule: ribosomal RNA, 301 nt
Filed under: uncultured bacterium
Lineage: Bacteria
Description: partial 16S ribosomal RNA
Rfam family: Bacterial small subunit ribosomal RNA
Source: RNAcentral
CAGCCGCCGCGGGAAUACGUAGGUCCCGAGCGUUGUCCGGAUUUAUUGGGCGUAAAGCGAGCGCAGGCGGUUAGAUAAGUCUGAAGUUAAAGGCUGUGGCUUAACCAUAGUACGCUUUGGAAACUGUUUAACUUGAGUGCAAGAGGGGAGAGUGGAAUUCCAUGUGUAGCGGUGAAAUGCGUAGAUAUAUGGAGGAACACCGGUGGCGAAAGCGGCUCUCUGGCUUGUAACUGACGCUGAGGCUCGAAAGCGUGGGGAGCAAAUAGGAUUAGAUACCCCUGUAGUCCCUGUCUCUUAUACA